UUCCUCUAUCUCUGUCUCUAUCUCUCUCUGUCUCUCUGUUUCUCUGUUUCUCUGUCUAUCUCUCUUUCUGUCUCUGUCUCUUUCUUCCUCCCCCUCGCUUCCUUCCUUCCUUCCUCUUUCAUUGUCUCCUCUAUCACCUUUUCUCUCUCCCCAACUCUCUGUCUCUCUUCCUUCCUCUCUCUCUUUCUUUCUUCCUCCCUAUUCUCUUUGUUUCUUCCUUCCUUCCUUUUUCUAUCUUUGUCUCAUUCUCUAUCUCCUUCUCACUCUCUCCCCAUCUCUUUCUCUCUCUCUUUCUUUCGUUUUCCUGUCUUUUUCUCUUUCUCUCUCUUUCUUUCUUUCUCUCUCUCUCUUCCUUCCUUUCUUUCUUUCUCUCUUUCUUCCUUUCUUCCUUUCUCUCUCUCUUUCUCUCUCCCUUCCUUCCUUCCUUCCUUCCUUCCUUCCUUCCUUCCUUCCUUCCUCCUUCCUUCCUUCCUUCCUUCCUUCCUUCCUUCCUUCCUUCCUUCCUUCCUUCCUUCCUUCCUUCCUUCCUUCCUUCCUUCCUUUCUCUCUCUUCCUUCCUUCCUUUCUUUCUUCCUUUCUUUCCUUCCUCAUCUAUUUAUAAGACAUUUCGAUAAGUAGACACAUUAUGAUUAAAAUAAUCAUAUAUCUAGCUGCG
Molecule: long non-coding RNA, 655 nt
Filed under: Monodelphis domestica (gray short-tailed opossum)
Lineage: Eukaryota; Metazoa; Chordata; Mammalia; Didelphimorphia; Didelphidae
Description: lncRNA (ENSMODG00000049951.1)
Source: RNAcentral